GACGAACGCUGGCGGCGUGCUUAACACAUGCAAGUCGAGCGGUAAGGCCCUUUCGGGGGUACACGAGCGGCGAACGGGUGAGUAACACGUGGGUGACCUGCCCUCAGCUCUGGGAUAAGCCUGGGAAACUGGGUCUAAUACCGGACAUGACCUUUCCUCGCAUGGGGACUGGUGGAAAGGCCUGGGCUUAAUUGUCUGGGCCGGCUGGGGAUGGGCCCGCGGCCUAUCAGCUUGUUGGUGGGGUGAUGGCCUACCAAGGCGACGACGGGUAGCCGGCCUGAGAGGGCGACCGGCCACACUGGGACUGAGACACGGCCCAGACUCCUACGGGAGGCAGCAGUGGGGAAUAUUGCGCAAUGGGCGGAAGCCUGACGCAGCGACGCCGCGUGGGGGAUGACGGCCUUCGGGUUGU
This 412-nucleotide ribosomal RNA is filed under the name uncultured bacterium. RNAcentral describes it as "bacterial SSU rRNA". It matches the Rfam family "Bacterial small subunit ribosomal RNA", at positions 28 to 426 of the family's 1533-position model. The record is from RNAcentral.